RNAcentral lists this non-coding RNA (112 nucleotides) under uncultured Eubacterium sp. RNAcentral's name for it is "FMN riboswitch (RFN element)". It matches the Rfam family "FMN riboswitch aptamer (RFN element)". From Rfam's summary of the family: The RFN element is a highly conserved domain that is found frequently in the 5'-untranslated regions of prokaryotic mRNAs that encode for flavin mononucleotide (FMN) biosynthesis and transport proteins. This element is a metabolite-dependent riboswitch that directly binds FMN in the absence of proteins. Lineage: Bacteria; Bacillati; Bacillota; Clostridia; Eubacteriales; Eubacteriaceae. The record is from RNAcentral.
UUUCGGGGCGGGGUGUGAUUCCCCACCGGCAGUAAAGUCUGCGACUCCCUGAAAAACGGGAUUGAUACGGUGAAAUUCCGUAACCGACGGUUAUAGUCCGGAUGAGAGAAAU